This 803-nucleotide long non-coding RNA is filed under the name Marmota monax (woodchuck). The record is from RNAcentral. Lineage: Eukaryota; Metazoa; Chordata; Mammalia; Rodentia; Sciuridae.
UCCAGUUCCUUAUUUAAUACAGCAUAGUAUUUUCACAGUUCUCUGCAUUAUUUAAACCAUCUCUAGAUUAUUUAUAAUGCCCCGUACAAUGUAAAUGCUGUGUAAACUGUUGCUAUACUGUAUUAUUUAGGGAAUAAUGACAAGAAAAAGUCUGUACAUGUUCUGCACAGCUGAAAUUUUUUUUCCCAAAUAUUUUCAACAUGAGGUUGGUUGAAUCUGAGGAUGCAGAACAUGCUUUCAGAGGAGUAAUGGCUGAAACUUCACCUCCAUGCACCCUCUGAAUUAGAAGUUAUCAGAGGAUUCACACUGCUAAAAGGGGAAAACAAGUCUGUGUUAUAGUUUAAAUCUGGAAUGUCUCCAAAGGGUCCCCAAGUUGAAGGCUUGGUCCCCAGGGCUGUUGAGAAGUGGUAGAGUCUUUAGGAAGUGGAACCUAGCAAAAGGAAGUUAGGUCAUUGGGGGGUGUGAUCUUAGAGAGGAUACUGGGACCCCCAGCUCCUUCUUUCUCUCUUUUCUUGCAGCCACCAUGAGUUCAGCUGCUUUCUCAGCCAUGCAUUUCCCCACAUGAUAUACUGUGCCAUUUUAGCCCAAAGGCAAGGGGGCCAAAGCAGCUAGAAACUGAAAUCAUGAGCCAAAAUAAACCUGAUCCCCUUAUAAGUUGAUUAGCUCAGGUAUUUUUGGAAAGAUGGCUAGCACAUCAAGAAGGAAUGGGAUCCAGGAAACAGGGAAGGCAACCCCAGAGAAGUGAGAGGAGUACCCAGGAUGGUGGAAAAGGGAAUUUCAGGACAGCAGAUGUGCUCCAAGGA